Molecule: long non-coding RNA, 6865 nt
Organism: Bactrocera neohumeralis
Lineage: Eukaryota; Metazoa; Arthropoda; Insecta; Diptera; Tephritidae
Exons: 2
Source: RefSeq, a predicted model, not a curated record
UUCAUUUCCACACAAAUGUUUAAAAGACAACAUGUACAUGUAUAGCUUUGGGGAUGCCAGGGAAGAUAAAAUGCAAGUGAAUUUUUAGGCUUUGCUGUCAAGCGAAGCAACCUUGCAUCAACCACAAAGUAAAUAGUGAUGAUGACGUUCACAUUCCUGGAAAUCCAGCACAUUAAAUGCAUAACGGUACUACUUAAUAAUGUGGAAAAAUACUGACGCUAGUUGUUGGAUCAUGAAAGUGUCAGAAGGAUAUGAGCAAAUGCAAAAUCAUUGGAUCGAUCAUUAUAAAAGUGGCCAUCAGCAAGAGCAGUUGAAUCCUCAUAAAAUUUAAAAGUUAUAUUCAUCUAUCUUUAUAAAUAUUAAUUAAAUAAUAAAUCCGAGUGAAAACACGAAAAUAUAAUUGGCGCCCAACUCACAGCAAGUAAAAAAACCAAAGGAGCAUAGUAUCCUGAGAAGUCGCUCUACCAAAAAGGACCAUAGAAUCCUGAAGCUGUAUUACCGAAAAGGACCAUAAAAUCCUGAUUAACUGUACUACCCGGAGGAUCAUAUAAUCUUUUUAAGCUGUCCAACUCAAUGCAGAUAUCUAAUAUAGGAUAACGAAAAACUGUAAGUGAUUUUUUAAAAUACAUAUAAAGUGGACGUAUGUAAGUAAAAUAUGAAAUUAUAAUUGAUAAUUAAACUGUGAAAAAGUUUGAAAAUAUUUCGAAAAAACACGUGUUCAUAGCUUAAAUUGUCGGAAUUUAAAGUUAAAAAUUUGCUACAUUUUCUGUAAAAAUUGGUGACAGAAAAUAUUUACUCUUUUUGGCUUAUAAAUAAACAUUAAACGUUUUCUAAAGUGCGAGAUAUUGAAAUAAAAUAAAUUAUUGUGUUUUUCCAUACAUUUGUAUGAAUAACUUUUUUUCUUUCUGACAUUCCAAGUAGAAGUUUCUAAGCUUGCUUUAAGGAAAAUUAUCUUUGUGUUCUAUUCUCGCCGACAAAAAAUUUGUGAAUUAUAAUUUUCAAUUAAGAUCUUUUUGAUAAUAAGAAGUACCAAUAUCUUUUUAAAGUAAAUUCAGUCUUACCAAAGGAGAUAAUGGAAGUUUAGACUUGAUUAAAUCUUUACCUGAAUUCAAAGGUGAUUCCGCUUCUUACCCAGGUUGGCGAAGUGCUACGCAAUUCGCUAUGAAUUACUGCAAAGAGGGCUCAGAGAGGUAUUUUAUUGCUAUGGGAAUAUUUAGAAAUAAAAUUAUCGAAUCUGCUAACACCACUCUUGCAUCGUUCAAUACUGAUCUAAAUUUUAAAGCAAUAAUCGCCAGGUUUGACCAGACUUAUUCAGAUAAAAGACCGUUAUAUGUAUUAGAGAAUGAGUUGGGCGUUUUAAGGCAGGAUAAUUCGUCUCUCACUGAUUACUACAAUAGAAUAGACAAAACGUUAUCUUUGAUUAUUAAUAAGCGAGCUCCUAGCUACUUUCAACGAACGGGCUAGAUAGAAUGCUUUAUGUUUCUUCAUAUCUGGCCUUCGAAGACCGUUAUGUGAUGUCUUAUUUUCCGCUAGACCAAAUCACCUUCCAUCAGGAUUGGCAGUUGCGCAAGAGCUUCAAACUAGUCAUAUGCGUUAUGAAUUCACAGAAGCAUUUGCAUUAGGUGACUUAAAUAAGCAUUACCCAUCAAGGCCAUUUUUACACCAAUGUCAGUCGACAGAGACGAACAACCAGAAUUUAGAUAAACCUGUCCCAAUGGAAAUUGGUAAUGGUUCAAGCUUUUACAGAACGUAAUAAUUCGCGAAGUUCCUUUUUACCGCAAAAGGUGUUUACCCCUAAAUAUAAUUUAGUAUCACAGAAUCCAAAUCCUAAUCCGCCAGUGACAUUUAAACGUAGUAAUAAUCGAUUACUAUCUGAUCGUUCGCCUUUCAUAAGACACAGAAAGUUAAUUUUAUGCCAGAAGAAGCAUCAUCUUCGAAUGAAUAUGAACACCAAUGCAUUGAUGAUAAUUGUAAUCAAAAUGAAGAAGCUCACUAUAAUUAUGAUGAAGUUAAUGUCGCGAUUUCGGAAAGUGAAGAUGAAAUCAAUUAUUUAAACUAAAAUCGCUCCUGCCGUUUAUUACAAAAAAGAGCAAGAACGGUCAGGAGCAUCGCAUUCUUAUUGGCACAGGUACAUCAAAAAAUUAUAUUAAGUCAUUACCAUUUACGAGUAUUCAAGGUAUUAAGGAAUUAGAAAAUAGUUUUAAACUAAAAUCGAUAAAUGGUGAAAAUGUCAUUAAUAAAAAAUGCCAAAUAAACAUUUUAGAAAAUACCUCAACGUUUUACUUGCUACCAAGCUUAAGAACGUUUGACGGUAUUAUUGAGUACGAUUUUUUUUAAAACAAAUCGAUGUGAAAACUGACACUGUUAGAGGGUAUUUAUUUUAUCGAAAUGGUAAAGUUAAAUUACAUGUGACAUGUUUUCAUGUGACACCGUAAAUCUAAUAACUAUAGAAGAAGACUCAGUACCAGUAAAAUAUCAGCCACAGUUCCGUAAGAUAAAUAACAAUUUUAAUGCCUUUGCUGAUCCAGAUAGAGCUUUGCCGUAUAAUACUAGAGUUCAGGCCCGUAUCCGUACAACUACAGGAGAUCCAAUUUACACCAAAAGCUAUCCAUACCCGAUAUCAGUAGCUCCAUUUAUUAACAAUGAGAUAAAAUCGCUUCUUAAAGAUGGUAUCAUCCAAGAAUCUUGUUCAUCUUACAAUUCUCCUGUGCACGUCGUUUAUAAAAAAAGGCGCUGAUGAAAAUGGAAAGACUAAUUUACGUAUGGUAAUUGAUUUUAGAAAGAUCAAUGAAAAAACUAUUCCUGAUCGAUACCCAAUCCCGGAUACGUCUGAAGUUCAAAAUGGUUUAAAACUUUAGACCUAAAAUCCGGAUUCCAUCAAAUUGUAAUGAGCGAACAGGACAGGGAAAAAACCGCCUUCAGUAUUAAUAACGGGAAAUACGAAUUUUGUCGGCUACCUUUUGGUCUGAGGAACGCACCCAGUAUAUUCCAAAGGACUAUCGAUGAUGUGCUACGCGAAGUUACUGGUAAAUUCUGCCAUGUUUAUGUCGACGACAUAAUCAUAUACAUAUUCCCCUAAUGAAGAAUCGCAUUUGAAGCAUAUCGAUUAUAUUCUGCAAACGCUUGCAAAUGCUGGAAUGCGCGUGUCCCCAGAAAAGUCAAAAUUUUUCAAAACGGAAGUACAGUUUUCUUGUUUUCUUGUGUAUGAAAAAGGCAUAAGAACUUGCACAGAUAAGGCCAAUGAUAUCGUCAGUUAUGAAUCCCCAAGAACGCUGCGUGCCUUGCGUUCAUUUCUCGGGUUGUCCGGAUACGGACAGUUUGGUACAAAAACUUCGAAACAGAUCAAAAUCAAUCUCGACGACGAAGUAUUACGUGCAUUCGAAAAAAUUAAGCAUAUUUUAGCUUCUGAGGACGUUUUACUUCAAUAUCCCGACUAUAACCAAUCAUUUGAGCUUACAACCGAUGCUUCGUCGAAAGCACUGGGUGCGGAUUUGUCACAAAAAAGUUGUCCAAUAACUAUGACAUCGCGAACACUUUCGAAGAGUGAAGAAAACUACGCUGCAAAUGAACGUGAAUUACUUGCUAUAGUGUGGGCGUUGAAAACACUUCGCCAUUACUUAUGUACAUGAAUACAAGAUAUCAAAAUUUUUACUGACCAUCAACCACUAAUAUUUGCGAUGUCAGAAAAAACCCAAACAACAAAAUGAAAAGGUGGCGCGCAUUUAUUGAAGAAUUUUCACCUAAGUUUUAUUAUAAGCCCGGAAGAGAUAAUAAAGUAGCGGAUGCACUAUCAAGACAGUUUUCUCACAACUUAAAUGAGAUCAUCUCGUCCGAAAGUAUACAUAGUCAGAUAUCAGCAAGUAACGUAAUAAAGACAGUUAGAAACUCCGUAAAUCAUGGCUCCAAAUCAGGCUCAUGCAGUAGAAAUAUAAAGAUUAUUUUCCAAAAAAUUAUUAGACAUUCUAUCACACACAAUUCAUUAAGUGUUUAAAAUUUGCUAUUAACCCUGACGUUACCAAUGUAAUACACUGCACUCUUCCCACAUUGGGUGAAAUUCAAAACUGUAUAUUAUCAGCUUAUCCUGGCGUUAAGUUUAUUCAUACUGAGCUCUUCGUCAUUGACUUAAUCAAUAAGGAUGACCAACUGGAAACAAUUAUAACCGAGCACAAUCGAGCCCAUCGAGGGUUACAUGAAAACUUUCAGCAAAUUUCGCCGGAGUACUAUUUUCCAAAUAUGAAAAAAUUACUUAAAACAAUAAUUACAAACUGCAAAAUAUGUUUAUAAAAUAAGUACCAACGUAAACCACCAUGCAUUGAUAGGUCAAAGCCCAAUUCCUAACAAACCAGGAGAAAUCCUUCACAUUGAUGUAUUUAUAAUUUCCAAACAUUUAUUAAAUUUAUUCCUGACCUGUGUAGACAAAUUAACUACAUUUGCUAUCGUGAAACCUAUUGCGUCCAGAACCAUGACCGAUAUCAGAUAUGCACUUUUAGAAAUCUUGCUGGUAUUCCAAAAUACUAAAACUAUCGUUUCCGACAAUGAAAAAUCCCUGAAAUCAAACGCUAAGGUUGCUAUAUAUAUUUCUGGCCUAAUAAUGUCAAUAGGCAUAUUUAUCAACGAAAAUGGUUUUUAUUUUUUAUUUUUUUUUGUCGAUUGCUGUUUUGUUUCGGGCUCAUACGUAUAGAUCCAUGAUUCGUCACCUGUGACGAUCUUAUAAACGUCUUUUGAAGCACCGCGAUCGUAUUUUUUCAGCAUUUCUUUACACCAAUCCACACGAGCUUUUUUUUGAGCGUUUGACAAAUUGUGCGGGAUCCAACGAGAACAAAGUUUUUUUACGGCCAGGUGUUCAUGCAAUAUCGGAUGUAUGCUGGUGGGAGUAUUGCAUAGGCAUGCCUCUAUCUAAAGGUAUGUUACAUGACGGUCUUGCAUUAUCAGUUCACGUACGGCAUCGAUAUUUUCUGGCACAACGGCUGUUUUUGGACGACCUUCACGGAACUCGUCUUUGAGUGAGCGUCGGCCACGAUUGAAUUCGUUGUACCAAUUUUUCACAGUGCUGUAGGAUGGUGCUUCAUAGCCAUACAAAGAUUUGAGUUCAUCGAUGCACUCUUGUCGUGAUAAUCCACGUCGAAAGUUGUGAAAAAUUAUCGCACGAAAAUGUUCACGAGUUAAUUCCAUUUUUUGGCAGAGAUGAUUUUUUGAAUUCCCUGUAAAUAAAACAAUUCACGAUUAAAUGACAAAACGUUCUGAGUGAUGUUAUGCUAAAAAAUGUCAAACUUUCCAAUGGAAAUGUCAGAUUGCACCUGGCAACACUUAGUGUUGCCCUAGGCCAGAAUAUAUAUAGCAGCCCUCGUAGUACAACACUGCUUAGAGACAAUUUUUCCAUUAGUCAAUUUUUUAUACCAACUCUCCACAGUACAUAGAAGCAAUGGUCAGGUGAAAAGGUUUCAUUCCACACUACUUGAAAUUAUCCGAUGUAUUAAGCAGCAGCACCACAUUGAUGACAUUAUCGAAUUAGUAUUACUAGCAACGCAUAAGUACAAUUGCGGUAUUCAUUCCGUGAUUAAUGCUAAGCCAAUUGAUGCGUUUCACGAGAACUCAGAUGAAGGUUUAGUAAGUCUUAGGAGGUCUUUGGUUGCAGCUCAGGAAGAUACUUUAAAAAGGUGUAACCAAAUUAAAAAUAUGAAAACAUAUCAUCCCGGUGAAAAUGUCUUCUUAAAGCGCAACAAGAGACUUGGCAACAAAUUGGAUAAAGUUUUUUUACAGAAAAUUAUCGAGAAAGAUAUUGAUACAACAGUUUUAAUAGAUAGCAAAAGAAUACAUAAGAGCAAUCUUAGAUAAAACAUAUUAGUUAGUAAAAAGAAGACAAGAGAAACACGUUGACAAACCGAACUUAAAAAAGUAAACAAAACCAACCACUUUUUUCAUGUUUUGAAGGAUUAAUUUUUAAAAAAUUGUUAAUUUAAUAACUUUACGUUCUAAGAAGAAGAGUGACUAUUUAAAUUUAAAUACCCACUGUAUAAUUUUAUAAGAUAUAUUGUAAUUAAUUUAAGAUAAGUCAUUGCUCCCGCAAAUUGAAUGUUAGUGACUGCGUAAAGAUUCGAAAAUCAACAGGCACAUACCAACAUCGAAAACAGCCUGGUUCAGAUAGACUUUGCUUCGAUCCGAGGACGUUCGAUUUUAACAACGGGGGUAGUUAAGGUAUCAUCUUUGGAUGAUUGAUUUUGCUAGCCAUUUUCGUAUGCUGGGUUAUGUUGGAAAUCGGUUUUGACUGAUCUAUUUUGGUCUCCAUUUUCUUAUUCCUGGAAUAACGUAAGAAUUUUGACGCUUUGCUGUCAAACGAAGCAACCUUGCAUCAACCACAAAGUAAAAGUGAUGAUGACGUUCACAUUCCUGGAAUUCCAGCACAUUAAAUGCAUAACGGUACUAAUAAUGUGGAAAAAUACUGACGCUAGUUGUUGGAUCAUGACAGUGUCAGAAGGUUACGAGCAAAUGCAAAAUCAUUGGAUCGAUCAUUAUAAAAGUGGCCAUUAGCAAGAGCAGUUGAAUCCUCAUAAAAUUUAAUAAUAAAAGUUGUACUCACAGAAAUUGCUAUAAUUAUAAAUGUUAAUGAAAUAAUAAAAUCCGAGUGAAAACACGAAAAUAUAAUUUAUACAUAUGUAUAAGUAUGCAUAGUUAAUAAAGAAAAAAGAAUCACGCGAAAAUACAAACAAAGAAAACGCUUUCGUUGAAAAAUAUUUUUAGUUAGUUGUUAAGAUGUGGCAACGCUCGUUUUCCUUAUAAUUGCAAUCAAGCUAACCUUUUCAACGAUGAGUGUGCUAAGUGAUUUUUAAAUAAAUAAAUUUAAAUAAAAAAUAAAAUAAAAGCGAAA